Molecule: ribosomal RNA, 270 nt
Filed under: uncultured eukaryote
Lineage: Eukaryota
Description: partial small subunit ribosomal RNA
Rfam family: Eukaryotic small subunit ribosomal RNA
Source: RNAcentral
AGGGCACCACCAGGUGUGGAGCCUGCGGCUUAAUUUGACUCAACACGGGGAAACUCACCAGGUCCAGACAUAACUAGGAUUGACAGAUUGAUAGCUCUUUCAUGAUUUUAUGGGUGGUGGUGCAUGGCCGUUCUUAGUUGGUGGAGUGAUUUGUCUGGUUAAUUCCGAUAACGAACGAGACCUUAACCUGCUAAAUAGCCAGGCCGUCUUCGGAUGGUCGCCGGCUUCUUAGAGGGACUGUCAGCGUCUAGCUGACGGAAGUUUGAGGCA